Molecule: long non-coding RNA, 206 nt
Filed under: Helianthus annuus (common sunflower)
Lineage: Eukaryota; Viridiplantae; Streptophyta; Magnoliopsida; Asterales; Asteraceae
Description: hypothetical non coding rna
Source: RNAcentral
GUCUUAGCUUAUUUGCUUCCGCUGUGCAAUGAAGAUACCAGUCCAGUCACGCCAAUGCUCUGAUAUUUCAGGGUGUGACAACGAACGGACGAGGCCUUAGUGACUUAAUAACAAUGAAAGUCUAUUUGUUCAUGUUUUGUUUCUGAUUUUUCAAUGUAAUGUAAUACAUUUAAUUUAAUAAAACAGAACUUCAAUCCAUGUGUUAU